This 1384-nucleotide ribosomal RNA is filed under the name uncultured bacterium. Its description in RNAcentral is "bacterial SSU rRNA". It matches the Rfam family "Bacterial small subunit ribosomal RNA". The record is from RNAcentral.
GAAUUCGCCCUUAGAGUUUGAUCCUGGCUCAGGACGAACGCUGGCGGCGCGCUUAACACAUGCAAGUCGAACGGAGCUGAGAGGAGCUUGCUUUUCUCAGCUUAGUGGCGAACGGGUGAGUAACGCGUGAGUAACCUGCCCUGGAGUGGGGGACAACAGUUGGAAACGACUGCUAAUACCGCAUAAGCCCACGGCUCGGCAUCGAGCAGAGGGAAAAGGAGCAAUCCGCUUUGAGAUGGCCUCGCGUCCGAUUAGCUAGUUGGUGAGGUAACGGCCCACCAAGGCAACGAUCGGUAGCCGGACUGAGAGGUUGAACGGCCACAUUGGGACUGAGACACGGCCCAGACUCCUACGGGAGGCAGCAGUGGGGAAUAUUGCACAAUGGGGGAAACCCUGAUGCAGCGACGCCGCGUGGAGGAAGAAGGUCUUCGGAUUGUAAACUCCUGUUGUUGGGGAAGAUAAUGACGGUACCCAACAAGAAAGCACCGGCUAACUACGUGCCAGCAGCCGCGGUAAAACGUAGGGUGCAAGCGUUGUCCGGAAUUACUGGGUGUAAAGGGAGCGCAGGCGGGAAGACAAGUUGGAAGUGAAAACCAUGGGCUCAACCCAUGAAUUGCUUUCAAAACUGUUUUUCUUGAGUAGUGCAGAGGUAGAUGGAAUUCCCGGUGUAGCGGUGGAAUGCGUAGAUAUCGGGAGGAACACCAGUGGCGAAGGCGGUCUACUGGGCACCAACUGACGCUGAGGCUCGAAAGCAUGGGUAGCAAACAGGAUUAGAUACCCCGGUAGUCCAUGCCGUAAACGAUGAUUACUAGGUGUUGGAGGAUUGACCCCUUCAGUGCCGCAGUUAACACAAUAAGUAAUCCACCUGGGGAGUACGACCGCAAGGUUGAAACUCAAAGGAAUUGACGGGGGCCCGCACAAGCAGUGGAGUAUGUGGUUUAAUUCGACGCAACGCGAAGAACCUUACCAAGUCUUGACAUCCCUUGACAGACAUAGAAAUAUGUAAUCUCUUCGGAGCAAGGAGACAGGUGGUGCAUGGUUGUCGUCAGCUCGUGUCGUGAGAUGUUGGGUUAAGUCCCGCAACGAGCGCAACCCUUAUGGUCAGUUACUACGCAAGAGGACUCUGGCCAGACUGCCGUUGACAAAACGGAGGAAGGUGGGGAUGACGUCAAAUCAUCAUGCCCUUUAUGACUUGGGCUACACACGUACUACAAUGGCGUUAAACAAAGAGAAGCAAGACCGCGAGGUGGAGCAAAACUCAGAAACAACGUCCCAGUUCGGACUGCAGGCUGCAACUCGCCUGCACGAAGUCGGAAUUGCUAGUAAUCGUGGAUCAGCAUGCCACGGUGAAUACGUUCCCGGGCCUUGCACACACCGCCCGUCA